UGGAUAACCUGAUUAGUUUUUUUUUCACUGUACUUAAAACUAAUUUCUUGCUCAAGUUUCUAUUCUUAAUUCUUUUUCUCAUUUGCAGCUGAAUUUGUGAUCAGUCUUGCUGAGAAAAAUACUACCUUUGAUACUUUUAAGACUUCGUUGGUCAAAAAUGGUGCAGAAUUCACAGUAUGUAUAUUUGAAGACUAUUUUUUUGUUUUGAUGUCAUUAUUGAGUUUAAAUUUUGGGAGGAUUUAAUGGUAGGAUUUGGAUGUAGGAAGGAGGCAGUUUGUAUAUGCCUAUUAAAUAAGCCAUUUAAUGUGCAAUGUUUUCAUGCCAUGAAGCAGUGGUGAUGAAGCUGGAUUUCCUGUGCCUCCUUUCUAGGAAAUUGCAUUAUGAUUUCCAUCAUUAAAUAUUUUUGGAUGUUUAUGUUCUUGUUCUGUGAAUCAGAAAGUCUGAAACAAGAAUCUAGGUUUUAUGGGUUGGGGAUGUGGCUCAAGCGGUAGCGUGCUUGCCUGGCAUGCUUGCAGCCCGGGUUCGAUCCUCAGCACCACAUACAAAGAUGUUGUGUCUGCCGAUAACUAAAAAAUAAAUAUUAAAAAUUCUCUCUCUCUCUCUCUCUCUCUCUCUCCCCCCCCCCCCCCCCCUUUAAAAAAAAAACAAACAUAAAGAAUCUAGGUUUUAGAGGUGAUGCUAAAGAAUAGGAAAUAAAAUGGUUGAAGGGAACUAAAUAACUUUUCCACUAAGGAUUCGUAAAAUUAGCAUUCUCUAAAGCUGCUAUUUCUAGCUUCAUGCUGUACCAGGUUGAAUUUUGUGUUCAUUUGUUCCAUUAGCUAAAUUCAAGUGCGUAAUUAUCCCUCACAUUCUUUUUUUUGGUACUGGGGAUUGAACUUAGGGGCACUCAACCACUGAGCCACAUCCCCAGACCGGGUCUCACUGAGUUGCUUAGCACCUUGCUUUUGCUGAGGCUGGCUUUGAACUCACAAUCCUUCUGUCUCAGCCUCCUGAGCUGCUGGGAUUAUAAGUGUGCACCACUGCGCCCAGCUCUUACAUUCUUUUUCUUUUCUUUUCCUCUUUUUUUCCUUCCCUUCCCUUUCUUCCCCUUCCCCUUCCUGUUCUUUCCUUCCCUUCUUCUUCCCUUGUCUUCCUUCUUUCCUCCCUCCCUCUCAUUCUUUCCUGAGGAUUGCACCACUGAGCUAUAUCCACAGUCCUGUUUAUUUUGAGACAGGAUCUCACUAAGUUGUGGAGGCUGGUCUUGAACUUGUGCUCUUUCUUACUCAACCCCUUGAGUAGCUGGGAUUACAUGUCUGUGCCAUACCUGAACACUUACUUUUUUAGUUAUAGAUGGAACACAGUAUCUUCAUUUUUAUUUACUUAUUCGUUUUUAUGUGGUGCUGGGGAUCGAACCCAGAACUUCAUGUGUGCAAGGCAAGCGCUCUAACACUGAGCUAUAGCCCCAGCCCCCUAUAUUUAUUUUUUAGGUGUAUAUGGACACAACACAAUACCUUUAUUUUUAUGUAGUUCUGAGAAUUGAACCUGGGUCCCGCGCGUGCUAGGUGAGCGCUUUACCACUGAGCUACAAUCCCAGCUCUUUUCUUUUUUUUUUUUUUUAGUUGUAGUUGGACAUAAUACUUUUAUUUUAUUUAUGUAUUUUUAUGUGGUGCUGAGGAUUGAACCCAGGGCCUCGCACAUGCUAGGCGAGCUCUCUACUGCUGAGCCAUAAUCCCAGCCCCCUUACUUUUCUUUUCUUUCUUUUUUUUUUUUUAAAUAUUUCUUUUCAGUUGUAGAUGGACACAAUACCUUUAUUUAUUUUAUUUAUUAUUUUUAUGUGGUGCUGAAGAUCGAACCCAGUGCCUCACACGUGUUAGGCAAGUGCUCUACGACUGAGCCACAACUUCAGCCCCUGAUCCCUUACUUUUCUAAGCAUGUUUAAUCACUGAUUCAGGGUUUGACAAUUUUUUCUCCAAGUGUCCAAAUAAAUGAAUAAAAAAUCUAAGAAGGACAACCCAGUGAGGUCCUGUCUCAAAAGUAACAAGGGCUUCUGAUGUAGCUCAGUGGCAGAGUGCUUGCCUGCCAUAUGUGAGGCCAUGGAUUCAAUUCCUAGUACUGCAAAGAAAGAAAAAAAUGAGUAUCAAACUGCUGCUGGACCUUGUCUUAUCAUAAUAAAAAAAUAAUACUAUUCAUUCACAGACAUAGGAGUCUCUUUUUCCUUUUCUUUUCUUUUUUUUUUUUUUUGUAUGGGAGAUUGAUCCCAGGGGCACUUUGCCACUAUGCUACAUCCCCAGUUCUUUUUUUUUUUUUUUUUUUUUGGAGAGAGAGAGAAUUUUUUUUAAAUAUUUAUUUUUCAGUUUUCAGUGGACACAACAUCUUUAUUUUUAUUUUAUGUGGUGCUGAGGAUCGAACCCAGCGCUUCGUGCAUGCCAGGAGAACGCAUUACCGCUUGAGCCACAUCCCCAGCCCCAUCCCCAGUUCUUUUUAUUGUUUAUUUUGGGACAAAAUCUUGCUAAGUUGCUUAGAGCCUUGCUACCUUGCUGAGGCUGGCCUCAAACUUGCAAUCCUCCUGCCUCAGCCUCCUGAGUUGCAGGGAUUAAGUCAAUUUGGAGUAAAAAUUCCCUAUUUUAAAAGAUGUAGUCCCAAUAAAAUUUCAUAUCUUAUGAAAAAUUGAAUAAAUAUAUAUAUAUAUCGUUUUGAACUGUACCAAUAAGUGUAACUCUUAAAGCCUUAUUAAAGUCAUAAAAAAUAAUUUUAAAAUUUCAAUUUAUAGCCCUAUUUUGCAAACAUGAUAGGGUGAUAAAUAAUAGACUUUGAAGAAUAAAAAUAUGGGCCGGGUUUGUGGCUCAAUGGUAGAGCACUCGCUUAGCCCACAUAAAAUAAAUAAAUAAAUAUAUAAAUAAAUAAAGGUAUUGUGUCCAUCUACAGUAAAAAUAUUUUUUUAAAUACAUGUAGGGUAUGAAGAUGUGAAUUUGGUGUCAACAUACCUUAUGUACAAUCAGAGAUAUGAUAAAUUGUGGUAUAAAGAAUUGUAAUGCAAAAAAAUAAAAUAAAAUAAAAUAAACAGAGCUCCUGGAAAAAAAAAAAAGAAGAAGAAGAUGCAUUGAGAGCAUUCUGAAUUAAAGAACUAGGGAGACACCAAAAAAGAGAGAGAGAGAGAGAGAGAGAGAGAGAGAGAGAGAGAGAGACAUGAAUGAUGUAUAUCUUUCCAUUUCUUUACAUAAUCUUUAAAUCUCUUAGCAACAUUUUGUAAAUGCCAGUGUACAUUUCUUUCACAUUAUUUUUCAGAUAUAUUUUUAAGUAGUGCAUAUGUUAGAACAUAUUUUAGAUGGUAUUUUUUUCUAAUUUUCAAUGUACAGUCGUUCACUACCAGUAUAUAGAUAUACAAUUGAUAUAUAAUUGAUGUUUCUUUAUUGGUACUUUAUACAGCAAACUUGCUAUGUUAUUAUUAGUUCUGGUAGCUUUUGCAAAGGUUUUACUAAUUUUUUUUGCAUAGGCAAUCAUGUCAAUUAACAAUAAAACUUAUUUUGAUUCUUCAAAAAAAUUUAAAAAUAAUAAAAAAUUUCAUACCUGG
This 3550-nucleotide long non-coding RNA is filed under the name Marmota monax (woodchuck). Lineage: Eukaryota; Metazoa; Chordata; Mammalia; Rodentia; Sciuridae. The record is from RNAcentral.